AGUGAACGCUGGCGGUAGGCCUAACACAUGCGAGUCGAACGGCAGCACAGUAAGAGCUUGCUCUUACGGGUGGCGAGUGGCGGACGGGUGAGGAAUACAUCGGAAUCUACUUUUUCGUGGGGGAUAACGUAGGGAAACUUACGCUAAUACCGCAUACGACCUACGGGUGAAAGCAGGGGAUCUUCGGACCUUGCGCGAUUGAAUGAGCCGCUGUCGGAUUAGCUAGUUGGCGGGGUAAAGGCCCACCAAGGCGACGAUCCGUAGCUGGUCUGAGAGGAUGAUCAGCCACACUGGAACGUAGACACGGUCCAGACUCCUACGGGAGGCAGCAGUGGGGAGUAUUGGACAAUGGGCGCAAGCCUGAUCCAGCCAUACCGCGUGGGUGAAGAAGGCCUUCGGGUUGUAAAGCCCUUUUGUUGGGAAAGAAAAGCAGCAGGUUAAUACCCCGCUGUUCUGACGGUACCCAAAGAAUAAGCACCGGCUAACUUCGUG
Molecule: ribosomal RNA, 492 nt
Filed under: uncultured bacterium
Lineage: Bacteria
Description: partial 16S ribosomal RNA
Rfam family: Bacterial small subunit ribosomal RNA
Source: RNAcentral